Molecule: transfer RNA, 72 nt
Filed under: Marmota marmota marmota (Alpine marmot)
Lineage: Eukaryota; Metazoa; Chordata; Mammalia; Rodentia; Sciuridae
Also listed under: 1 other name
Rfam family: tRNA
About the family: Transfer RNA (tRNA) molecules are approximately 80 nucleotides in length. Their secondary structure includes four short double-helical elements and three loops (D, anti-codon, and T loops). Further hydrogen bonds mediate the characteristic L-shaped molecular structure. tRNAs have two regions of fundamental functional importance: the anti-codon, which is responsible for specific mRNA codon recognition, and the 3' end, to which the tRNAs corresponding amino acid is attached (by aminoacyl-tRNA synthetases). tRNAs cope with the degeneracy of the genetic code in two manners: having more than one tRNA (with a specific anti-codon) for a particular amino acid; and 'wobble' base-pairing, i.e. permitting non-standard base-pairing at the 3rd anti-codon position.
Source: Rfam by way of RNAcentral
UGAGGUGUGGCUCAGUGGUAGAGCACUCGCCUAGCAUGUGCGAGGCACUGGGUUCAAUCCUCAGCACCACAU